GCAAGUCGAGCGGAAACGACACUAACAAUCCUUAGGGUGCGUUAAUGGGCGUCGAGCGGCGGACGGGUGAGUAAUGCCUAGGAAAUUGCCUUGGUGUGGGGGAUAACCAUUGGAAACGAUGGCUAAUACCGCAUAAUGCCUACGGGCCAAAGAGGGGGACCUUCGGGCCUCUCGCGUCAAGAUAUGCCUAGGUGGGAUUAGCUAGUUGGUGAGGUAAUGGCUCACCAAGGCGACGAUCCCUAGCUCGUCUGAGAGGAUGAUC
RNAcentral lists this ribosomal RNA (262 nucleotides) under uncultured bacterium. Its description in RNAcentral is "partial 16S ribosomal RNA". It matches the Rfam family "Bacterial small subunit ribosomal RNA", at positions 57 to 305 of the family's 1533-position model. The record is from RNAcentral.